UCUGCAGGGCGCGUGCUCUGAGGGCAGGUCUGUCCCACGGAUGGUCAGCGUUGCUUAGGCCGUAGCAGAUAUCAUUGAGCUGGACUAAAGCAACCAGCACAUCCUCAUGCUAUAGCCUGAGCAGCAGAUCCAGCUACUAAGUCAAAGCCUGCUCAGUCUAGCCGUCCAGCUGGAGCCUCAGGCCCCCAGCAACUCCUCUGCAGUAUUUAGCUGAGUUUGUUUGUCUUCUGAGGAUAAAAGCUCUUUACAGGACUCUGCCCUGCUGCCCUCCUAAUUUCCUGUCACUUUGCUGAGCUUCUCGGCUGGCUGAAGGUUGAACAUAAAUAAAUCACCCAGCGAGAUGAAGAAGAGCUUGGAAUAAGACUCAUUAACAUGCAAAAGACUGAGGAGACCUGAGGUUGGGAUUUCUGUAGGACAUUUCCUUGCCCGUCGUACAAGGUGGCGACAUCUUUAUGAUUUUAUUGUUAUAACAAGACAGCUGUAGAGAAAUCGAGCAGUGGAAUGAACUCUACCUCCCACAGGCCUUGUCCUGUUGACAUCAGCUAAAGAACAGCUAAAAUGCAAGUUAUCCUGUACUUCUGACACCAUGUAUGGCUUCUGCAUCAGAUGGUUCUUUCUAUGCUGAAGGAAACUGACACUACAGUCAGGGAGAGAGGUUCGGCAUUU
Molecule: long non-coding RNA, 666 nt
Organism: Cavia porcellus (domestic guinea pig)
Lineage: Eukaryota; Metazoa; Chordata; Mammalia; Rodentia; Caviidae
Exons: 4
Source: RefSeq, a predicted model, not a curated record